This 425-nucleotide ribosomal RNA is filed under the name uncultured bacterium. RNAcentral describes it as "partial 16S ribosomal RNA". It matches the Rfam family "Bacterial small subunit ribosomal RNA", at positions 354 to 796 of the family's 1533-position model. The record is from RNAcentral.
GUGGGGAAUCUUAGACAAUGGGCGCAAGCCUGAUCUAGCCAUGCCGCGUGAGUGAUGAAGGCCCUAGGGUUGUAAAGCUCUUUCAGCUGGGAAGAUAAUGACGGUACCAGCAGAAGAAGCCCCGGCUAACUCCGUGCCAGCAGCCGCGGUAAUACGGAGGGGGCUAGCGUUGUUCGGAAUUACUGGGCGUAAAGCGCACGUAGGCGGACCGGAAAGUCAGAGGUGAAAUCCCAGGGCUCAACCUUGGAACUGCCUUUGAAACUCCUGGUCUUGAGGUCGAGAGGGGUGAGGGGAAUUCCGAGUGUAGAGGUGAAAUUCGUAGAUAUUCGGAGGAACACCAGUGGCGAAGGCGGCUCACUGGCUCGAUACUGACGCUGAGGCGCGAAAGCGUGGGGAGCAAACAGGAUUAGAAACCCGAGUAGUCC